This 467-nucleotide long non-coding RNA is filed under the name Elaeis guineensis (African oil palm). Its description in RNAcentral is "long non-coding RNA (EGUI_LNC074542)". Lineage: Eukaryota; Viridiplantae; Streptophyta; Magnoliopsida; Arecales; Arecaceae. The record is from RNAcentral.
UUGUAAGUUUUCUGAGAGUGUCUCAUCUAAAACUCCUUCUCUUACUUCUCAUCUUUGGAAGAGUCCAAAUCAAGAAGGAGGCAUCUGAUCGACCGUCGAAGAAGGAUCAGCACAGUACUAGCAUACUGUGCUGAUUUUCUAGACCAGGACUUCUGAUCGUGAUUCGUGGGCUCAUGUGGAUGACUCCUAGAGGUCGGACACAUGUGAUGCUCGCAACAUCAUCCUCAAGCUUGGAUCAACAAAGUUAGAACGUCUAACUUGCAACAUAAUAGAUCUGAUCUAUUAUAUUUUACAUACAUUAGAUGUAGUAUAGAAACAUGUCGAUAUGAUCAACAUGUAGUUCUUGCAAUUUAUAUUUUUAUUUUUAAUUUAAUGUCAUAUAAUAAUAAUUUAAUAGGAUGAUCUUAGAUUUAGGGAUUCUUUGAUUUUAUAAGAUAAAUUUUAAUUUAUUUUAGUCUUUCGCUGCC